GAAAAAUAUUAGUUAAAUAUUGCAAAUAAUUAUAUGACUUAGCAUCAUUUAUUACAAGGCAUCUUUAGCUUUCCAUUUUUUCUGAUUGUUUCUGUUCCAGUUCAAGGACUGACCUAUUCCUCCCAUAUCCGCUCUGAGCUCUGCUUUCUAAUGUAAAAGCCACACCCACCUUGCUGGAUUUGAAAAGUGGAUACGCCUGAAUUUGUUAAAUCCACAUCUCUGAGCUACUUGUAUUUCUACCUUGGCUAUUUGUUUGGCAGCAGGCAGUUGACAUAUUGAACUACAGCUUCAAAUGUUUUCCGGCUUUUUUUGGCUCUAGUUUUUUAUACAGGCAUUUACUUUACCAAGGCAGUUGGAUUGAAUCUCACGAAGCUGCAAGUAACUGACUUACUGAGCAUCCCUGAGAGAAUCUCUUAACCUGUCCGCAUGCCAAAUGUAUGAAUACAUUUCACAGGUAAAAAGCAGCACCAUGUUACACUGGACAUUCACUUCAAAUAAUCAGGUAAAAAUCAAGGACAACAGGGAGUGCCUUUUUAAUAUUAAUGUCUAUUUUUACAGGCUAUAGUGCGGAAUACAAUGAAAGAAAAUGCAACAUGAAAUUAGUUCUUCAAUUGGAAGAUAAGAAAAGCAUCAUUGCAAAGCAAAUCCUCUGUGCCUUCCUGAUGAUAACCAGCUUUUUGCUCAAGGCUCAAUAUCCUCGAGAUGCUGCAGAACACUUAGUAAUGACAUAGUCAGGGCAUCAUGCUGUUUCCCCCUCCCUGCUUUUAUUUAAUGGGAGUGUACGAUUAUGUUUAUAGGUCUAUCGUGUAUUGUCCUGCAACAUACAUACAAAUGCUGACAAUGUAUAUUUGUGCAUUAAAAUGUUUCUAUCAUACCUGUAAGAAAUGAACUACUGUGUGUGGAGGCAAUUAUCAAGCUUUUUUUUAUAUUUAUGCUGUAAAUUAUAAAUUUAAAAACAUUUUAAAUUUAUUGUAAUUAAAUUUAGCAAAAAUAAAAAUAUUUUUGUUAAGAUGUUUGUUCUUUGUUGCAUACAACUAAUCUGAAAGACCGUUUAUUAUGACCAGGACAAUCAACUAACAGUUAAAUAAGCAUUAAAGCACUGUGUGGUCAUCUUAAAUAAAAGAUAGCUUUUAAAAUAAUCUCAACCCGAUUGCUUUCAGAUAGCCACAAUGUCUUCUAGAAGACCUUCUAUUGAUUUUGUGGGCACAUUAGCUUUGAUAUAAGCAUCUUAAUCUUCAAUCUUAAUGGAAGUCCUUUUGGUUUUGCUUUCAGGGAUCAUCACUCUAUAAAACCUUCAAUUAUCAAUAUGGGGCGGAAAAUGGUUGAAAAGGCAUAUUACUCUAACGUUUUGCUUUAUGUAUUGUAGCUGGUCUUCAACUUGAUUUAUUCUCCAGUAGAAAAGAAUUCCAUUUGGGUGUGCAAGGGUGUAUUUGUUUAAAAGUAAUUUUAUAAGGAUUACCAUUGCUAUGAUACUGCAUUUUUUAAAUAAUUAAUAUUUAAAAAAUAAAUUUACUCUAGGACUGUG
Molecule: long non-coding RNA, 1525 nt
Organism: Erpetoichthys calabaricus (reedfish)
Lineage: Eukaryota; Metazoa; Chordata; Cladistia; Polypteriformes; Polypteridae
Exons: 3
Source: RefSeq, a predicted model, not a curated record